GCCAGCCUGACAACCUCAGUUCAAUCCCCAGGUCCCCAGGUCCCCAGGUCCCCAGGUCCCACGGAGUAGGCGUGGUAAGAGAAGACCAAAUCCUGAGAGUUGUCCUCUCACCUCCCCACAGAACUAUAGCAUGAAGAAGAAACAGAUCAUCACUGUUCAGACAAAGGGCCAACAAGCCGACAUCUGUAUGGGACCAGCUCAUCCACACUUUACACCCAACAGGAUCAAACAGAACACCUGGGUUACAAAAAGUAUGCUGUAUUUUGGAUUUCACCAAUAAAAAAUUUUGAG
This is a long non-coding RNA of Mastomys coucha (southern multimammate mouse), 291 nucleotides long. RefSeq lists it as uncharacterized. The transcript has 2 exons. The record is from RefSeq and is a predicted model, not a curated record. NCBI's taxonomy places the organism in Eukaryota, Metazoa, Chordata, Mammalia, Rodentia, Muridae.